CUCAACUAGUUUCCCAUCUUACGUUUAGAGGGAAUGUUCGAGACGAUAUAUCAUCUCAAACGUGCAACGAACAUCAAAAUUACAGACUUCUCAUUGAUAAGUUCUCAAUUAUCAGCGUCAAGUGAUACUAUUGAUAUCCUUGGACUAAAGCGAUCCAAUCAGUAAUCCAUUAUCCUGGCAAAAACGAAAGUUGUCAGGUUGAUCUGGAUGUGAUGAUGAAUUAUGUAUGGCAUCAAAGGGCUAUGUUACAUGAACUUAUGUAUGUAUGUAUAUACAAUCAGAUAGAUAAGACAAUAUCAACAGAUUACUAUAAAAGCUUGGAAAAUAAUGCUACAUUAAUUAACCAUGAAGCAAAAUAACAACAUGCUUUUAUUUAUUCUUUUUUAUAUUUAGUUAGCAGCCUACAUAAUUAUCCAAUAAUGCAAAAGUCACAAUUAUUUUUUGCAAUUUGUGUACUUACGGGUUCAAUAUUGGCGCAGAGGGCUAGACUCUUCGAUAACGGAAAUUGUACCGGGAUCCCAUUAGCAGAAACUACAACAGUUGAGCAUUACUUGAUUAAUAGUAAUGCUCCCAACGUAACCAGGGGGACUCGAGUAUACGGCAUGUAACCGAAAAAUAUAUACACAAAUCGAGUGGGAUGGGAAAUCGAAGAAUGUCAACCAGCAGAAAAUUUCAGCAUCUAUUGUCACGCUGAGAUCAUUUUGGAUUACGAUACGACCUGUCAUCCCUUAACCAUGGAUAUGCCCUACGUUAUUGCAAUGUCCAGUCGUGCGUAUGAGCUAGAUGAGCCUAAUCUAACCCUGUACGGCGAACCCGGUUUAAAUUCCACGUUUCAAAAUUUCCUUGACACCAGGCCUACAACUAGGAUAUCCCAGUGGCAGUCGUAUUUCAUUGUGGGAACGAAAAGUUGGUUAAUUUAUGAAGAACCUGAUUAUAAGGGGAAUUCGACAUGUUUAAGUCCAAGUGAAGAUGUGAUAGAUCGCGGAUAUGGAAUUACAUUAGUGAUGGAAGGACUUGAUGUAAUGCUUUUAGGAAGUGUACGAAAAACUGAGAGAAAUUGUCCACCUGAAGGAUCCGGUGGUAGUAAGAAGAUAAUUCCAAGAUUAACUAUUUUAAUUGGGUUUCUUAUUGUUACUUUGAUGAUUAUCUAUAAGUAAUUAUUUAUGAUUUGACUUCCUUCCAUUAAGUAAUUAUUCUUAAAUAUAUGUAAUAAAUGCAGACACAAUUACAUUAAAAA
Molecule: RNA transcript, 1237 nt
Organism: Folsomia candida
Lineage: Eukaryota; Metazoa; Arthropoda; Collembola; Entomobryomorpha; Isotomidae
Exons: 2
Source: RefSeq, a predicted model, not a curated record